GGGGCGGUAGCUCAGUUGAUAGAGCGUCUGUUUCGCUUCACGGCGAUCAGAAGGUCGGUGGUUUGAAUCCAUCCCGCCCCACUA
Molecule: transfer RNA, 84 nt
Filed under: Candidatus Fermentibacterota bacterium
Lineage: Bacteria; Pseudomonadati; Candidatus Fermentibacterota
Description: Candidatus Fermentibacteria bacterium tRNA-OTHER
Rfam family: tRNA
About the family: Transfer RNA (tRNA) molecules are approximately 80 nucleotides in length. Their secondary structure includes four short double-helical elements and three loops (D, anti-codon, and T loops).
Source: RNAcentral